Long non-coding RNA from Bombus huntii, 8668 nucleotides. RefSeq lists it as uncharacterized. NCBI's taxonomy places the organism in Eukaryota, Metazoa, Arthropoda, Insecta, Hymenoptera, Apidae. The record is from RefSeq and is a predicted model, not a curated record. The transcript has 3 exons.
UAAAAAUAUUUAAUGUUUAUUAAUAGUUAAAUAAAAUUAAGAAUAUAUUUAAAGAAUAGCAAAUUAGUUAAAAAUAUUGAAAAACACUUAAAUUUUAAAACAAAAAAAUAGUAAACUGUAAUAACUUCCAAGCUCUAAUGUCCACGUAAUCUUUUACUCAAAUAAACGACUUCGUUUGUUUGAAAUUAAACGUCUUAUCCACUAAAGUCAUUCCUUAUCCUAUGGAUAUUUUACUUUUUUUGAGUAAUACUUAAAGUGAUCAUAAUAGAAAAGUACAAAAAAAUUUUACCAAAGACAAUAUUUCUCAAAAAGGUCUAUAUCACUAUCACAUAAUCGCCGUUCCGAUAAUUGUCCUACGCAGAGUUAUACUUCCGGGAAUAAUUAUUUUUUCAUAAUGGUCAUAUGCUAUACUUCCUAACAGCUAAAGCUCCUACUAGUUUCAAGGCCUUCUUUCACGGAACUAAUUGCUUUUACGAAAUGGUUGACAGUGCACAUUAAAUUUAGACCAUUUUCUAGAACGAAUGCCUCAAAAGAAGAGCCACGUUCCGAAGAUCUAUGUAUAGUUACUUAACUCACAAUGUGCUAUAGAAUAAUAUCUUCUCAUUCUUUAUAUAUACAUGUAUAUAUUAUUUGUAUUAUUAUAUAUAUAUGUCGAAUUAUCAUUAGGUUUACGGGCGUGUAACGAAUCUUCAUUUGGACUAGCCAUCGUCGUUGUACAAUAGAGAUUAUAUUUACUGGUAUAAAUAUGGUUUUUACAGAAUUUGACAAAUAACCGUGGUGAUUAGACACUCGAGAUGUUCUUAGGUUCAAUAACGAAUCCACGGUCAACGAGAUAAGUCUUUGUUAAACGCAAAAUAUAUUUUGAAGCACAAAACAACGUUUGCUGGGACUCUCGGUAUAUACUGCCCGUAAAGACGAUGUGAAACUCUCUAAGGAGAUCGCACGAAUAAAAGAUUGAUGAAAACUUUCCUCUCCUUACGAUUGCGUUCGUUUGUUGUAUAUUGGUCGGGGAUACCAACAAAAUUCCAACCGCCGUUGCUAGGCAGUCCCGCGUAGCGGCGACAUUGUUUCUGCCCGGAGUUUGAUUGUUAAUACAACGUGUGUCCCAUAAUAUUGACACUUCUGAGGCAAAACCACACAUGACUUGAUUUGUCCUCGAGCCCGUGUGCCGCUACAACUAUAUUUUUUUAAGGAGAACUAUACAACUACUCCAUACCUCUGUUAGGUAAAAACGUACAUCCCGUGACCGUGACUACGUUCAGCGACCAGUUGUGUCACCUCGAGCCCAAGCCCACUGUCACAAAUCUCGGAAAAACAUCGGAUUAAAUCAUAAACAGCUACUUCUAAGUUUUAUUAUUUAAGUACAGCUAUAAUAAAUAAUCUAGACUAAAGUAUUGGGGAUCUUCCCAAAAAUUCCAAAAGAAAGGUCCCGAUGUCCUUUCAUCUCCGACAUAUAUAUGUUAUAUUUAGAACUAAUUUAUAUCUAUAGAUAACACUCUUCGCCUCGAGUCAUAUUUACUAUAUAUUCAAUCAAUUAUCAAUAAAUCUUAAUAUUUAAUAGAUCGCUUUUUAAGGCAACUAUUCAUACUAUGUACGUACUAAUUGCUUAGCAACGUAACUGUUUAGUAACAUAAAAUGUAUAUUUACAAUAAAUGUCUUGUAAUUUUUCUAUCUAUUUCCAGAUCGAUUUUAAAUUUUACUACCAAUAUUAUGAUAGUUGUACCUUAUUACAAUACUAUUGAAAUUUGAAAAACUUUUGUAUAACACAUAUUCAUAAAAAUUGUCUACGAUAAAUGUUGAAAUAGUUCCACGUGUCACACUACAGCCUCUAAUUGUAAGUCUAACAGUUUCCUCGAGUUCUAUGAACCUCUAAAGGCCACAUUUAUAAUUCGCUUGCAUUUUAACGCAAAUACUUUAGAGCGCGUGUCAUUUUUAAAAAUGAACCCGUGUGUACGACCGCGUAGUAACAUAUCCAACAUAGGAAUUUCCGGUCCAUGCAUGACCGCGUUCGCAAUCGAUGUUAGAACGAAUCUGAACGAGGUAAACCACCCUAUUGCUGGCACUUGACCAACCAUUGGCUCAUAUGUUUAUUAACGCACGAUAGAAGAAUAUAACGCGCAUCUAAACGAUUUCAUAACGCAAUUGCAGCGAGGAGAACGUCGUGCUUUGCAUGCCAAUCCGUCCUCGAGAUUUAACGCUGACAUCUUGUUGAGUUCAUCCGUUAGAUAUGGUCAGUUCAUUAUGUGGCGUACAGGAAGAUCCACGCGAUCAAUAGCGAGCUUGUCUUCCGGGAAAAGUGAUACGUAACGUGAAAUAUGGCGGAAAUUAUUAUUAGAAUAUAAAUUUGAAAAUUUUCGAAUGAUUAAUCAGAGGUUGGUUAUAUAGCAAUUUGGAGAAAUGAGAUUUAUUAUUGCAAUUUGUUGCGUUGGAAGAAUAGUUUUGGUGAUACCGAAUAAUUGAAAUUAAUUGUUUCUCUUUUGGAACAUACUUUUAUACGUUAAGUAUAAUAUUUAACAAUUUUGGAAAUGUCCGUUUAAAUGGUUUAAAUGGCAAUAAAUUUGUUUAAUAACUUGUUCGAACUUGCAGGAAACAUUUACCCAACAAAUGUGUUGAUAAACGAUUCUCAAGAAGCAUAAUUAUCACCUAUCCGCAAUUUUUAAAACGUAACAACGCUACACAUUUUUGUCUUGUUUGAUAAUUUUCAGACAAAGAUAUAAAUUGUUGUACGUUUUCCCUUCCAUCAUUUGGAUACUCAACCAGAGGUGUCAUUAUGGAUAACGUACAUAACGAUUGUUCAUUUGUCGCUAUGCAUUAAAAAGCGUUAAUAACGCGAAACAUUUCUCAAGAUAAGAUGUUACGAGAUAGAAAGAAAUUGUAUUAAGUAGCAUUAAAUUGUUUCAAAUAUUCGAUACACGAACUGGUGAACGUAUCCGCUCCGGAAAUGGAGGCGUUUUGAAGAUUACUCCUACUUCUUUAAAUCGAACUAUAUAUUCUUUGAUGCAAACUACUUGCGACGUAUACAAAUGAAAACGUAUUGAAACAGAAGCAAGUAACAGACGUUUUGCACUGAUAAUCAGAAACUAUUAUAUGCAGCAACGUACGGUAACUCGGUUACGUUGAUUUGUAAUUAACUUAUCUUUAACGAUGAUAUGGAUUACUCAUAAUAUAUGUACACAAGAUAUAAAAACUAUUUAAAAGCUUAACAAGCAGUAAAUUCGCGUUGUCAGCACAACCGAGUCGUCACGUACGCUAGCGUAUAGAAAUUUCAAUCAACCACGUGUCCAUUUCAUAAACUGCUAAAACUUCAAAGAGUAAGAAAUAUUUUAGACUACUCAUCAGAGAAUAACUAUGCUGACGAACUACCAUGUAAUGUACGCUAUAAUGUACGAAAGUCUAAUUAUUUACACGCGUUGUUGUUACCAUGUUAAUCAAAUGCCACAAUGCGAGCUAUUGAAACAUGGAAAGAUAAUGAGAAACGUUUAAAGAUACGAUAAGUAAUAGACUUGCUACCCUGACGCACAGCAACUAUUGUAUACGCUAGUGUAGAAGAACUCGGUCAUUCAUACUCAGGGAUCGUUAUCAUGCUAGCGCGUCAGUGUUUCACAAUACGAUCCGAUGAGGCGUGUACGGACAAAGAGGAACGUUUAAAAACACGGCAAAAUCCACUGUAUCGUGUUCACCGAUAGAAUUAUUCAUGCUGGGUUGUUACGUUGAAACGAACGUUUCUUCUAAUUGCUAUAAAUUAUUCGACGUAACGAAGCUUCGUGAUUUCAACGGUGAUCUUUGGUGCUUUAAUAAUACAUCGAUAAAAUAAAUAAUUCAGCUGGAUCCUCAUCGCAGAAGACGAAGAAAUAAAAUUGAGAAACGUUUCGAGGAAGUUGAAAGGCAUAAAAUCCCGUUUCCGCUGAAAUUACACUUCUUUCGUAUAUUGUUCCACUUCCUGGCGAAUUACCAUGCCGUUUAUUAACAAACUUGGCCACCGUAGUUUAAGGAUUCUUGGUAGAAUCUCGAGGGCAAAAUAAAAAUAUAUGUUGCGAGGAUGAGUUAUGAAAAUAGAUAGAAAUACUAGUAACUUCGAAAGCUUUAUAUUCGGAUAGAUAUUUAACUUUUUAGUAAAGAUUUUGAGAAUCUUUUUAGAUAUCACUUUUCAAUAAAAUAUAAACAUUCAUAUUUCAUACAUUGUCUUACUUUCGGAAAUUGAAGAGUACCUCGUUUUUAAAACGUAUCAUAUAUUAUCAUUUCAAAGAUAUUGUGCUGUUUAAUCAAUUUUAGAUUAAUAAGCGUCAAUAAACAUUUCUUUCGAAAAUAAUGUUCGUAAUUAAAAUGGAGUAUUUAACGAUUUUAAGAACUCGAAGAAGAUGAUCGUCGAUACCGUGAUAAAUAAUUCAACAACCGCGCAGGAUUUCCGUCGAAGAAAUUUAAAAUCAUUUCGACGAAGCUAAGGACCGUAAAGUUUUACAGAAAUCAUAAUUCCUUUCCACGUUUACGCGAAAGAGUAAUAAACCAUUUAUUGGUGAAACUUUCGAGUGAUUGCGUUUUAUUACGAGUUAACGCGGCAUUGUGUGUUUAACUACUUCGUCUAAACAAUCUUUCGUAUUUCAGAAAAUAACUAAGUGUAUCGUAACGAGAACUUUUGUUGAAAAAACAGAUCUUAAGAAAUUUUAAAAGUUAAGAUGUGUAUCCUUCCAAUUUUACUGAAGAGCUUCAGGAUUUUUAAUUAUAUAGCACUUCCAUGUAAAUUAUCUAUUCUUGAAAAUUAUAUUAAAUUGAUUACUCGUAAAUGAUAUUAUUGUGACAUACUACAACUCCAAAGCAGCAAAAUAAAAUGAUUUCACCGGAAGAAUAUGAAAACAAUUUCUAAGAAUAAAGUAUAACAAUCCAAUCUGAGAAAAACAAAAAUCAUCAUUCUAAGUAAAUAGCAUAGUGCUUGCCAAUAAAUGUCUCUUCUGAAUAUAAUAUUCGAGACUAUAAAUUAUCACGAUCUCCAUUAGGAAAACGAGAAGUCAUUCCGAAGAAAUUCGGAAACAGUAAAUCCUGCGAUCACUGAGGCAUCUUCGAGAAAACCGAUUAUCUUGGGAAUAACUGAGAAUAUUUCAUUUACUCAUUCUCACAUGACAAUUGUUCUUAUCUCAAAUGAGUAACCAAUUAAAGAUUUCGAAAGAUACACUUCCAGUAGAAAAAACGAAUUUAUUUAUCAAAUGUCUCACAUUAAAACAAUGAUUAAAAAUAACGAAAUUGCGUUUGAUGUUUUAUUUUUGAGAAAAUUGGCUCCCGAAACUUGUAUACACAUAUUUGACUAAUUUCCGACUGGACGAAUAUAUUUUUCUUAUAACUUUUUAAUAAAGCAUUUGUAUUCCCUUAUUCUUGCACAUAAAAUAUGCUGUACAGUUGUCUAGAAAGAAAGCCUGAAAUACUCUGUAUAUGUAUUUCUUGGCAAAGAUCGAAACUGCACGUAAAUAAUGAAAUAUUCAUUAAACCAAGAAACUGUUCUUCCACGGCCAGUUAUAUCACUAAUUAUUACACACAGCGUUACGUAUUUAAUUAAUUUAACGCGAGGAUAACGCGCAUCUCAUUAACGCUCACGGCAUCGAAAGUUAUGCACGACGUUGCACUUCUCUCUGAUAAGUUGCACGCUCAUUCUGAAUUUCAUAACUCGCGUAAGCUCGGGCACGGCUUAAUCGCGGCUCGACAUUCGCGGAACCCGCCACGAUCCAUGGAUUACCUAUCGCGAUCGCUCGAUCAGUACGAAACAUGUACAGUACACGAGUAGAAACAUGUUCCGAACGAUUUCGAACUGUUUCAAGGUGAUAUCACAUUUGCCCUAUAUUCGAAUUUCUGGGUUAACAGGUACUCAUAGGAUCGUUACCAAUUCGUCGUAUCUUGGCACGAUUGUCGUGAAUUAAGUGUAUCAGCAAAUGAUGUCGAAAUCGUAUUUCCUUUUUAACCCAUUAACAUUAGAACUGUCAAACUGGUAUUAGGUUUCUUGUUUUCGCAAUUACUAAAAACAUGCAAGUAUUUAUGAUAAUAUCGAUGUUUACUGUAACAUACUAGUAAGAAUAUAAUCUAUUAAUCUAGUAAUAAUAGUAUCGUAAUUGAUCACAGUCGUUGGAAGCUGUUUGUAUAAAGAUAAUUUUGCAACAAUUUGUUUUACUACUCUUAAUCACCUGGUAUUAUGAAGCGUAUAUGUGCAAGUUAAAUUUCAUUUAAAUUGGUAUUUAUCACAAUCAUUUUUGUUUGCUUAUCGUUUAAUGUUAUUAUAUCAUUGCUGUCGUUAUUAUGCCUUUAUUACAUAUUUACUUCUUGAUUAUAUAUACCGAGAGUUAAACCACACGCGGUUUUUGACAAAACUUUAUGAUAUACUGCCGUGAAGUUUGGCAAUAAAUUAACUGUCGCUUUUAUCUUAGAGCAAUGGAUCUCAUUUAAAAUAGAAAAAUAAAUAAAUAAUAAAAGUAAUUUUUAUAAUUAUAUUUGAAAAUACUACAUAACUACUAGAAACACUACUAAAUAAUACAAAAUAGAAAUUGAAAUGAGAAUGUGAGUAUGGCAUUACUAAUGGAUAUUACCCAAACAUUGUCUAUGAAUUCGCCUAGAAAAUUAUUUAAUUCUAGAAUAAUAAAAAUUUUAGGAAAUUUUUACAAUUUAAGUAAAAGUUGAUUUGUUGAUGUUUACAGUUUGAGAUCUGAAUAUAAAUAAGAGAUGAGAACGAUUUAUUUGAAAAUCGCAUUUAAGAUUCACCGAUACAUGUUGGAAGGAGUGAUUUUAUGGCUAAUAUCCAUUCAAUGAUAAAGAAAAAAGUGACUUUGUAGUAUUCAAGAUCAAUGAUUACAGAAAUAACUAUUUAGUUUCGCCAUUAUGUUUUCCCGCCUCGAUCAGAGAACUUUUACGUAAGUUUUUAUGUUUUCUUAUAUCUUCGAUAGCUAUAGAAAUAAUUGAAUGUAUAUACAUAUCUAUAUCGUACAAUAUUUAUAACCAUUCGCAUAAAUGAUGAUUGCAUUAUAUUAACACGUGUAAACAUUAUAUACCGAGUAAAACUAAUAUAAUUUUCAGAGUUAAUAUGUAACUGCAGAAUUUGAACGAUGCGAAUCGCCAAUACAAACAUAUGAAUACAUACGGUGGAGAGGAUUAACGUUCCAUCUACGACACAUGUGAACGAUCAAUGACGAGAAUUCAUAGUCUUUUUCAAUUUUUCUGCUACUAUGAACGUACAUUUUAUUUUUAUACACUUUUCUCAAAUUCUAAUUAGAUUUACAUACUUCUUAUUACUAAUGGGUAUCUUAUUACUAAUGGUAUUGAUAUUUAGAAAUUAACUGAGAUUUCUCAGACAAGAAAACAUUAAAAUAUUUAUCUUCUGUUGGCAGUAAAUAAUUAGAAAUCACUUUAGAAGUAGGUUUUACCCAUCUAUGCGUGUAUAUAGUUCGAGGGUGACUCGCGCGAAGUUUGUCGCAAACAAAAUGCUCGCACUGAUCACUAAUAUUCACGUGCGAAUACAUUUGACUGCUAGUAACGAAAUUGCACGUCAAAUUUUUCGAUAUAUUUGUUUCGUCUAUCUUUAACCAUUACCUUUUUAUGUUUUUGUUAACAGUAUUUAUUAACGGUUUUGUUAACAGUAUCACGUACUUCAUAAAAUAUUUAUACCAUACAUUACAAUCGAACAUAAACACAUUAAAAAGAACUACAUCUAAGUUGAAAAAAUAUUUACGUCCGUUUAACGACUCAAUUAAAUUCUUAAGUGGGCAAUAUUAAAAGAAAUCACGAGCAACGCUCGACCGAACGGCUUCUAACUUGCACGUUUAAGAAUUUUGCUAUCUGAAAAUAGACUAAUUGACUUAUGUAAUUCGGUAAACUCGGUCCCUCGGUUUUCAAGUGGGAACGGAACUGUACGAUUUCCACGACAAAACUGUGCACGCAUUACGCGAAAGGAUCUUUGAUCUCGCCGGUUACACAUCCGUGACAACGUGUUAUAUACACCCUUAUCGCCAGGCGCAUUUGUCUCGAGGGACUCUUUCACAAGGGGACGGAUGCAGCCAGCCGAACGAUUAGCGAGCAGCAUCCGGCGCCGAUCUAAAAGCCCCCUUUCUAUGUAUAUGUAAGCAUCGAAGAGCCGGAUUACAACCGCGGAGAUUUCAGCGGCAAACAUACCGAUUCUCGAGUGGCCAGAAAUGGGAGGAUCCCACUCGACGAUGAUUGACGUUUAUUAUACGUUCGUAAAUCAUCCUGGCAAAUGUCCACAAAUGCGUGCACCAAAAAACAAAAUCUCCUCUAGUUCCAGGAUCUCGAAAGAAUCAUAGAUAUUUCGAAAAGAAGCUCCGGUCAAAGAAAAUUGGCGCAGGGCGGAGCCUAGAGUUUUCGUGCUCGGAAAAGCGCAGGCGAUAUCGCUUCCUUCGGGUUACCGGCCCUCUGAUCAAUAUUAAUACGUGACACCGGCGAGAGGGUGAACUGGUAAGACACACACAUACACACCACAGUGUAUCAAGCGAAGCAUGAAUUGAAAAAAAGGAGCGGAAGGAGAGGGAGGACGGAAGAAAAAUUAUCACGCGUUCAAUCACACUUGGAAUGGUACAUAAGAUAGAUGAACAACGAUAGGGCACACAAGCAGUGAGUAAAGGAAAGAAAAGUAAAGUAGACCAGAGUGGGUACGAGCGAAGAGAUAGGCUGUUGAUAAGUGUAU